GCCAAUGUGAGUUAGUGGUAUGAGCAUCAGACUGUGACUCUGGAGACCAGGGUUCGAUUCCUGCCUCAGCC
Phrynosoma platyrhinos (Desert horned lizard) is the source of this 71-nucleotide non-coding RNA. The record is from the annotation of a GenBank genome assembly. Lineage: Eukaryota; Metazoa; Chordata; Lepidosauria; Squamata; Phrynosomatidae.